RNAcentral lists this ribosomal RNA (657 nucleotides) under Staphylococcus caprae. Its description in RNAcentral is "partial 23S ribosomal RNA". It matches the Rfam family "Bacterial large subunit ribosomal RNA", at positions 1 to 654 of the family's 2925-position model. Lineage: Bacteria; Bacillati; Bacillota; Bacilli; Caryophanales; Staphylococcaceae. The record is from RNAcentral.
GAUUAAGUUAUUAAGGGCGCACGGUGGAUGCCUUGGCACUAGAAGCCGAAGAAGGACGUUACUAACGACGAUAUGCUUUGGGUAGCUGUAAGUAAGCGUUGAUCCAGAGAUUUCCGAAUGGGGGAACCCAACAUGAGUGAUGUCAUGUUAUCGACAUGUGAAUUCAUAGCAUGUCAGAAGGCAGACCCGGAGAACUGAAACAUCUUAGUACCCGGAGGAAGAGAAAGAAAAAUCGAUUCCCUGAGUAGCGGCGAGCGAAACGGGAAGAGCCCAAACCAACAAGCUUGCUUGUUGGGGUUGUAGGACACUCUAUACGGAGUUACAAAAGAACAUGUUAGACGAAUCAUCUGGAAAGAUGAAUCAAAGAAGGUAAAAAUCCUGUAGUCGAAAACAUAUUCUCUCUUGAGUGGAUCCUGAGUACGACGGAGCACGUGAAAUUCCGUCGGAAUCUAGGAGGACCAUCUCCUAAGGCUAAAUACUCUCUAGUGACCGAUAGUGAACCAGUACCGUGAGGGAAAGGUGAAAAGUACCCCGGAAGGGGAGUGAAAGAGAACUUGAAACCGUGUGCUUACAAGUAGUCAGAGCCCGUUAAUGGGUGAUGGCGUGCCUUUUGUAGAAUGAACCGGCGAGUUACGAUCUGAUGCAAGGUUAAGCAGC